GGAAAAGGAGGAGAAUUGCAGAACGCGGGGCAGAGAGAGAGAGAAAGGCUAAAUUGGGUCACUCGCCGGAUUUUUGACCGGCUGUUUGGACGACCAAACGAUCUCCGUUUCGGCCCAAAUUCGGAGGAAGUACUCUAUUCGACUAGAGGAACAAGUCUACGGUGGCUGAUUUCGUUUUUAAUGGACAAAUUCUCAUAUUUGUGGUAGGGGACCCUAACUCUAAAAAUUAAAUUUUUAUGUUUUUCCCUUGAAAAAAAAAAUUAUAAAUCUGAUAAUUAUGAGUUAAGUAGGUAAUUGUAAUGUUGGGUGAAUUUUCUGGAAUGCUUUGGGAUUUGUUCUGGAUUUUUUUGUAAUUUCUGGAAUUCUUUGUAAUUGAUAAAUAAUUAUUUUAAGUAUUAAAAAUUGUUAGAAAUGUAGGAAAAUUCCGGAAUUAGGACAAGAUUUCAAAUCCAGUGAUUUAUGAAUUUUUGAAAAUUGAUUGGAAUAUUUGCGGUAAUUUUAUUGUGAAAAAUUAGUUAUUUUCAAAUAUUAGGAAUUAUUAGAAUUAUUGAAAAAUUCUGAAAUUGUGAUAUAAAUUCAAGUAUAUUGAUGUGUGAAUUUUCGAAAAUUCAUUGGUAUAUUUUCAGGAAUUUUAAUGUGAAAAUUUUAUUUUAUUGGGUUAUUGAAAAUGUUGGAAUUGUUGAAAUUAUUAAGGAAUUUUGGAGUUUGUGGCAUUCAUUUGCAUCAUGGUUGUAUGAAGAAAAAAAAAAUUGUGAAAAGUGUAUGAAAUGGAAAAAAAUAAAAUAGUUAUGAAAAGUGAAAGCCCGUGUGAGGCGAACUAAGAAGGGAGAGAGAUCCCUAGGGUGAAAGACCCAAAAGUUUACCCCGGGAAGACUCCGAAUGGGGAGUAUAUUUGGGUGCGGACGCGUAUCCUUCGGUGAAAGCCCGAGAACGAUAGAGCAUUGUAUGACUGUGUGUCACACGUUCAUAUGCAUUCAUUUAAUGAUUGGAUGUUGUGGGAUUGAGUAUAAUGUUAUAUGUUAAAUUGUGUGACUUGAUUUAUAUUGGUAAACUAUUGUGUUUGGGUUAUUGAAAUAUAGAAAUUCCCCCAUUAACCCUUUGGGUGUUAGGCACCUUACUGAGCAAUGUGGAAAUGCUCACCCCUUCAUUUUUAUAUCUUUUUAGAUGCAUAUAUCACUCUUGAGGAUCCACAGAUGGGACAGGGAGGACUUCAGGAUGCCCCUAGAGCGGUUUAGUGGAAAGGUUUUAUUUUUUUUUUUAUUGUGUUUGUGGCAUUGAGACCUUGUAAUAAGUGAAUUAUGGAUGAUGUAAUAAGACCUUAGUUUGAUUAAGAGGAUUUUUAUGAAACUUUAUUUUGGGAUGCAAUGAUGUUUAUUAAA
Molecule: long non-coding RNA, 1379 nt
Filed under: Vitis vinifera (wine grape)
Lineage: Eukaryota; Viridiplantae; Streptophyta; Magnoliopsida; Vitales; Vitaceae
Description: long non-coding RNA (VVIN_LNC006651)
Source: RNAcentral